ACGCUCGACACCUACUGGAGGCAGCAGUGGGGAAUAUUGCACAAUGGGGGAAACCCUGAUGCAGCAACGCCGCGUGAGUGAAGAAGUAUUUCGGUAUGUAAAGCUCUAUCAGCAGGGAAGAUAAUGACGGUACCUGACUAAGAAGCUCCGGCUAAAUACGUGCCAGCAGCCGCGGUAAUCUGAGGCGGGCUGGCAAGGC
Molecule: ribosomal RNA, 199 nt
Filed under: uncultured bacterium
Lineage: Bacteria
Description: partial 16S ribosomal RNA
Rfam family: Bacterial small subunit ribosomal RNA
Source: RNAcentral